CGCAGCUGAGUUGAUGAGGAGUGAGCAGAGCAGAAUUUCCACCAGGUAUUGGCGUGACAGCAGACGCCCCGGGGGUGAGCAGGACAGUGCUGGCCAGAGCCCUUUCUCCCCAGAGGAUAGCUUGGGGUAACAGGAGAUCAAGGCAUACAGUGGAGUCUUCUCAGGGAAGAUGUCGUCUUUGACAAUGAGAAGCCGUUGUGUGGACAAAAGAGGAAGUUUCUUUAAGCUCAUUGACACAAUUGCCUCAGAAAUCGGAGAACUGAAACAGGAGAUGGUACAGACAGAUCUCACAGUGGAAGAUGAACCUGCUGAUUGGCGAAGUCUAAUAAAGGAUAUGGAUAAUGUCUCUCCUGAGAAAAAUGAUGUAAAAAGCUGCCCCCGGGACUCUGGAUAUGACAGCCUAUCCAACAAGCUGAGCAUAUUGGACAAACUCCUCCAUACUCACCCUGUGUGGCUGCAGCUUGGUCUGAACGAUGCUGAAGCCAUGGAAAUUUUGCAGACACAGCCUCCUGGGAUAUUUCUGGUUAGGAAAUCUGCAAGGCUGCAGAAGAAAGUCAUCUCUCUUCGUCUGUCCAGUGACUGUGGGUCCUGCCUGAAAGAAUUUGCCAUAAAAGAAAGUACAUACACGUUUUCCUUGGAGGGGUCUGGAAUAAGUUUUGCUGAUUUGUUCAGACUCAUUGCUUUCUACUGUAUUAGCAGGGAUGUCCUUCCAUUCACACUGAAGUUGCCUCAUGCAAUUGCUACAGCAAAGACAGAAGCUGAACUUGAAGAGAUUGCUCAGCUUGGACUGAACUUUUGGAGCUCCCUGGCUAACAGCAAACCCCCGGAUCCUUCACCUCCCUGUAGGCCUGUGCCUUUGGACCGUGCUCGCAAAGACUCACGCCAGCUCUGCCUUAUAAAUGGAGUGCAUUCUAUACGAACCAGAACGCCUUCAGAGCUGGAGUGCAGCCAGACCAACGGAGCGCUGUGUUUCAUUAAUCCCCUCUUCUUAAAAGUGCACAGCCAGGAUGUCAGUGGAAGUCUGAAAAGGCAGAGCCCGAGAGCUCCAGACGUGAAUGGCACAGCGAGGCCUCGCUCCCCCCCGCCCCGGCCACCACCUCCUGCUAUUAAUAGCACCCUCACGAGCCCACAGAUUUCCAGGACUAUAAAACAGGCGAGCAUGCCAGAAACAGUCAGCCAUAAGAAGGAGAGGGGCUUGGAUUUGCUGCAGAACAAGCCCACCCCGAUUCCGCCUCCUCGGCUGAAGAAGCAGGCUGCGUGCUCCGAGGCAGACAGUGCCUGCAGGAGCGCGGCUGCGCCCCGGCCUGACUCCGUGUGCGUGCCCGAGGCGGCCGCGGUUCCGCGGGAAGCCCUGCCCGAGCCGGCUCCAGCAGCUCCCAAAAAGACUCCGGCUGCCAUCUCUGAGUCACACAUCCCGUGGAAUGGAGGCAGGCAGAGACUGAGCGACAUGAGCAUUUCCACCUCCUCCUCUGACUCCCUGGACUUCGAUCGGAGCAUGCCGCUCUUCGGCUAUGAGGGGGACACCAACAGCAGCCUGGAGGACUUUGAGGGGGAAAGUGACCAGGAGAGCAUGGCACCCCCUUUGAAGCCCAAGAAGAAAAGAAGCAGUUCGUUUGUUCUCCCCAAGAUUGUGAAAUCUCAGCUACGGAAAGUCAGUGGAGUUUUCAGUUCCUUCAUGACCCCUGAGAAGAGGAUGAUUAAGAAAAUUGCAGAGAUGUCCCGGGACAAACGUACCUAUUUUGGAUGCUUAGUACAGGACUAUGUCAGUUUUCUCCAAGAAAACAAGGAGUGCCAUGUUUCGAGCACUGAUAUGCUGCAAACAAUUCGUCAGUUCAUGACCCAAGUCAAGAACUACUUGUCCCAAAGCUCCGAACUUGAUCCCCCAAUCGAAUCACUGAUUCCUGAAGACCAAAUAGAUGUUGUGCUGGAGAAGGCCAUGCAUAAGUGCAUUCUGAAGCCGUUGAAGGGUCACAUUGAAGUGAUGUUGAAAGAGUUUCAUACCACAGAUGGUUCCUGGAAACAACUGAAGGAAAACCUGCAGCUGGUGCGGCAGAGGAAUCCUCAGGAGCUGGGCGUGUUUGUCCCAACACCAGACUUUGUGGACGUUGAAAAGAUUAAAGUCAAGUUCAUGACUAUGCAGAAGAUGUAUUCACCUGAAAAGAAAGUCAUGCUGCUGCUGAGAGUUUGCAAAUUGAUUUACACUGUCAUGGAGAAUAACUCAGGGAGGCUGUAUGGAGCUGAUGACUUCCUGCCUGUGUUGACGUAUGUGCUAGCCCAGUGUGACAUGCUGGAGCUGGAUACCGAAAUCGAAUACAUGAUGGAGCUGUUGGAUCCAUCCUUGCUGCAUGGAGAAGGGGGCUAUUACUUGACAAGCGCUUACGGAGCACUUUCACUGAUCAAGAACUUCCAGGAAGAACAAGCUGCCCAGCUGCUCAGUUCAGAGGCCAGAGACACUCUCCGGCAGUGGCACAAGAGGAGGACAACAAACAGGACAAUACCUUCAGUGGAUGAUUUUCAGAUUGCUGAGCACUGGGGAGAAUAUUUGGGAUAAAGAAAUGAAAGGCACAAGGGAAGCUCCACACUCCCGAGGGAAUGCUUUAGGCACGUGCAGCUUCUGACCUCACCAACAAUCCCAGCUGCCACAGAAACCUUCUGAAGCUGGGAGAGGGAAGACAAUUCCAAGAGCUCUGGGAAGAGCUUUCUCCCAGGACUGGAUGGCAUUGAGCUUGGAAUGAGUUCCAAAUCAUCCUUGUGCCUCUCCUGUUGCCAUCCAGGACUAAGUCGGUGUUCCCUGAGUGGCUGCAGUUCCCUGAGUGUGGAGGGAAGAAGCCUGUGCUGGAGAAUGGGAGAAAAGUCCCUGCUGGUUGCUGUGUCCUCCGUGGGCACAGAACUCUGGCCAGAUGGGUUGGACAGGGAAGAUCACUAAACUUGUCCCAGCCUUGCCAAGAACUCUGGUGUUUGGGCUGCCAAACCCAAACUGGUCCUGCCCUGAUUCUGGAACUGCGUCUCUGGAUGUGUGCUGAGCUCUCACUGCUGUGGACUGUGCAGCCUUAAUUGCUGCAGGGUUCUGUUCUUCUCUCUGGGGAAUUGGAAAUAAUUAUUAAUUAGAAGGCAACAUGCUUUCAGAAACCUCUCCCUUUUUCUGCCUUUCAGUAGCAGAUCUUCUCUUUCUGCUUCUGAAUUUACAGCAAUUCUCAAAUGUCAUUUCACCUGCCCAAACUCCUCACAGCCCAGGGGGGUUCAGGGAAGGUGCUGGUCUUUUGCCACGUGUGUAGAUAUGUAACCACUUAGCAGAUAAUCUCAGAUUCUGUAAAGACAGCCAUUCAUUUUAAAAUCAAGACCAAACUCCUGCUGCUGGGAAGCUGUGAUCAGUUUAUAAUUUAGCUUUAGCUCAGAGAUACCAGAUUUGUGUACAUCAGAAUAGCCCCAACUUCCUUGCAACCCAGAGCAUCAGUGUCACCUGACUGAGCUUCUCUGCCACUGUCACCACAGGUGACUGUCCUCCCUCUGCACAACCAGCGCAUCAAUAAAGCAGUGGAAGGUGAAAUGAUAGAAAUCAAUCUGCCUCUCAUUAGUGGGAUGAAUAGAAGUGUUCUGGGGAGAGGGAUUGAUGAGGGGGUGAGCAGAUGUGUUAAGAACUUGUUUAAAGAUGGAUAAGAGAAGGAUGCUAAUUCUUUUUUGUCAGAUAGCUGGGAAUAAGCUUUGGAGGACUUUUGGAUGAUGGUGUCUCAAGCAAACAGUGUCAUGUACAAACAGUACAAACACUGCUCAAUAAAACGAGCUUGGAGAAAA
RNA transcript from Passer montanus (Eurasian tree sparrow), 3792 nucleotides. It is a transcript of the gene named Ras and Rab interactor 2, with no coding region annotated. Lineage: Eukaryota; Metazoa; Chordata; Aves; Passeriformes; Passeridae. The record is from RefSeq and is a predicted model, not a curated record. The transcript is spliced from 15 exons.